UACUUGUUUAUUUAACUUCCUACCUACCUACUACCUACUGCCUACUUACAGCGAUUGGUGUGCUGACAGACCGCCGCUAAACCCACCGCACCAGCCCACAAGACUCCAACAACAGCUGCAUGAGGCCCUCUCGCAUCGUACGGCACGGUACGGCAGAUGCAUGUCGCUCCUGCUACCCGCGGCACAUCCACAUGGUCCCGUACAUGAAACGCAAUGCUUCCCCUUCCUCGAUCAUCCGCAUGACCGGCAAGAGUUGUCCCUUGCCGAGGCCCUCGCCCUCACGCACCGAACAGGCAGAACCUGGGCAUGCGCUGUCCGACCACUCCGCUGACCACCGGGCCGCUGUGAAUGCCGACGCGCAUCUGGACAGG
Molecule: long non-coding RNA, 371 nt
Filed under: Volvox carteri
Lineage: Eukaryota; Viridiplantae; Chlorophyta; Chlorophyceae; Chlamydomonadales; Volvocaceae
Description: long non-coding RNA (VCAR_LNC000431)
Source: RNAcentral